Brassica napus (rape) is the source of this 1991-nucleotide long non-coding RNA. RefSeq lists it as uncharacterized. The transcript has 4 exons. The record is from RefSeq and is a predicted model, not a curated record. NCBI's taxonomy places the organism in Eukaryota, Viridiplantae, Streptophyta, Magnoliopsida, Brassicales, Brassicaceae.
CGUUAAAAAUCAAAGUCUGUAAAUUGAAUAUUUACUUGGUUGGGAAAUCUUAAUUUUUUUUUUGUGACAUUUGCACAUCACUGUUAUAUAGGUCUCCAGAUUGCUUCUAUCUCGGCUGGCCAAUGCGUGAUGAUGGAGAUCUCUCUCCAGUAUCUUCAUUACAGCAGCUUUUCUACGCUUCCUCCAGAGUAUCUUGGAUAUUAUCUUAAACUUCCCGGGUUUCCACAGAUGGAAAUUUACUGAAAUUUUGAGAAAUAUUCUCAAGAUCGCUGUAAGUCUCGCUUGGUGUGUAGUCUUACCACUUUGCGAUGCCCAGUCCAAUUCUUCUGCUCCUGGGAUGCUGAAGCAAUGGAUAUCAUUCCUUCCACGAGACGUUAAAGGGGUUCCCCCGCUCCAUAUCUUGGCUGUCGCUCUUUGCUUGCUCCCAAAUGUGCUGACGGCUAUCAUGUUCAUUUUCCCUAUGCUUCGACGCUGGAUUGAGAAUUCAGACUGGCAUAUAAUUAGAUUGCAUGUGUGGUGGUCACAGGUAUGAUGCUGGAUUUAUAAUUCCUUUCUUUUCAUCCUGGAUGAAAAUUAUGAUUCUGUUUAGUCAGCAAAUCCCUUUAGGCAUGCUAGAAGAGCUCUGAACUCUGUUAUGUCUUAUGUUUUAUAUAUUGCAGUGCUAAUGGCAUAAAUUAUUUGAGUAUUUUCUAUAUAUUUAAAUUGCAUUGUAUGAUUGUAUCUAGAGACUAUCUCUUGGCUCAGUUUAGCAGCUCAAAUAUGACUGAACCACCACAAACCUCACCGGCUAUUCUUUUUUAUGUUUGCAACAAGAGACAAGAUUAUAUAUAUAAAAGCUCAUGUGUCCAUGGUUCUUAGUGUCUUUGUCUUUUUUAGUUUCUUUUUUUACUAGGAAACUUCUGAUAUUUGUAUGUAUUUGAUUCAUUCUUCUUAGUGUCAUUGUCUUUUUUAGUUUUUUUUUUUUACUAGAGUGUUGUUUUUUGUCUGUCUAAAGACAUACUCUCUGGGUUAUCUCAUAAAACGAAGAGGUGUAAUAAAUUGCUCCUUAUCAACUGGACACGCACUGAAAAUACUAAAGAUUACCCAUAUUGGGAUCUAAACUAUCUUUUUCAUCCCCGGAUGCUGAAGAUUACAACGUAGGCCAAAUUGGCCAACAAGUCCACGGUGGUGCACCAGGUAUGUCCAUUCCUUACCUUACUUUACUUUCUCUACCAGUUAUGUUUUGGUAUUUACGGUUUAUUGGAUUCGUGUCGGCAACACGAGGAAAAUCUCAUCACAUUCAUGAUCCGAUGAAAGAGGUUAGGAGGAGAUAGUUCCUCCAGGCACAAAGGAUUUUCAUGUCAUGGCUACUUCCCACACUAAAGUCUGAGCCAACCAAAGCAGUGGAACCAGUACGAGGCCCCAAUACCUCUCACGGACACGAAGCUCUGCCUCAUCAUGCAGGACCCUUAGGUGUGUCGGAAAAAUAAGAAAAAGAGGCGUAGGAAAACGUAUAACACACCCGUGUCUUUACUCUCUCUGACAUGAGAUGUCACUAGAACAUUUGUUCCUGGUGACAACUUAGAGUCAACAUCGAGAGAGACAGAGGAUUGGAGGAAAUGACGGCUGCUCGGGUCUUGGUGGGAUCUCGAAUUAUAGUCCAAAGUCACUUUUCCCACCGGAAAAACUGGUGGAGAAAUUGGAGCAGCACAGCUCUUGCGAGGAGGAAAGGAACAUGUGAUGAUGUUCAACUAGGCUCCUGGAAGAGAGAGGGGAUACAGUCAAGAAGAAUGAAAUCAUACCUUCUUCUGAAACGGAAGCCUCUGCUGGUUGCGGUUAGGGCAAGCUGAACAUGCCUUAUAUGAUGCUAACGUCUGCAGAGAACUAAAACCUGAUUGGUCUAAAAGAUGUUGUUUCCGUGAAGGUGUUGCUCUUUGUUUCCUACAGGUAAAAAUCAUCUCACUUCUAUUACAAAAAGCAGUUGACUUUGAACGCUGAAACAUUAUAAUUCA